AUCUCAAAUCAGGUAGGACUACCCGCUGAACUUAAGCAUAUCAAAUAAGCGGAGGAAA
Molecule: ribosomal RNA, 58 nt
Filed under: uncultured Thelephoraceae
Lineage: Eukaryota; Fungi; Basidiomycota; Agaricomycetes; Thelephorales; Thelephoraceae
Description: partial 28S ribosomal RNA
Source: RNAcentral